This 379-nucleotide long non-coding RNA is filed under the name Sorghum bicolor (sorghum). RNAcentral describes it as "long non-coding RNA (SBIC_LNC013577)". Lineage: Eukaryota; Viridiplantae; Streptophyta; Magnoliopsida; Poales; Poaceae. The record is from RNAcentral.
GCCCAGGAGGAGGUGCAGAGGCUUGAAGACGCCGCGGCUGUCCCCGGAGAUGCCUUGGCCGCCUUCUUCGACGAUGAGGUGGAGCUUCCCCCCUCGGAGUUCAAGGACCUGGAGAGACAGCGCAGCAGCAAUCUUAGUUUUCUUUUUUCUUUUUGUGGGUGUUGAGGCCAGUAGGCCUUGUAUCAUAUAUACAAUGUUAAUGUCGAAUCUAGAUAUUAAGCUUUUUUCCUAAGUGUGUUGUUUUCUUUUUCCUUAUGCCGAUCUGACCUCGGCAGCGCGAGGUCGGGUAAGCUAUUUAAAGUUAUUGCGCUAGCCAGAGUCCCCGAGCCUAAGUCCUUUUCCUUUUUCCUUAGUUAGUUUUCAGAAGUCCGGAUCCGUC